Molecule: long non-coding RNA, 485 nt
Organism: Manacus vitellinus (golden-collared manakin)
Lineage: Eukaryota; Metazoa; Chordata; Aves; Passeriformes; Pipridae
Exons: 3
Source: RefSeq, a predicted model, not a curated record
GCCCGGCCCCGCCGUGCGCGGACAGAGGAUCCCAACAAAGCGCGGAAAGAAACGCACAAAGCAUCAAACGGCAUCAGCGCCAAUAUUAGCGCUGAAAAUGGAAGAAGUCCUUGGGUUUAUGCCUCUCCCCUGCCCGGACCUGCGGGACCCUGCGGUGAGGACCUCGCUUACUUGGGACUCGGCUCUGUGCUUGGGUUCUGUGACAGCUGGUUGCUGCUUUUAGGAGUUGCAAGGACCAAAGUUCCUGCUACAACAGAGUUUACACAUCAAGCUGAGCCAUACGUGGGCCUCAUGGACAACUGCUACAAAGACUUAACAAAGAUAAAAAACAAUCCACAUGCAUCUUCUUAUUCUUCUGAAGAUACAAACAAGGUACUGUAAGCCAUAGCAUGUUGCAAGUCACAAAAAUCACAAUAGCUAUGUUUUUCUUGUAAGUUUGCUUAAAAAUAUUACUGAAGAACUCUCUGUAUGUGUGGUAGUCAGUA